UUAACAAAAACAUGUCUUUUUGCUUAUACUUUAAAGUCUGAUCUGCCCAAUGAGUAAUUAAAUGGCCGCGAUAUUUUGAUCGUGCGAAGGUAGCAUAAUCAUUAGCUUUUUAAUUGAGAGCUGGUAUGAAUGAUUGGACGAGAAAUUGACUGUCUCAAUUUUAUUUUUUGAACUUUAUUUUUGAGUUAAAAAGCUUAAAUGUUAGUGUGGGACGAGAAGACCCUAUAGAGUUUAAUAUUUUUAUUAGUUAUUAGAGUUAUAGGUAUUUAUUUUUUUUUGAUUAAUAAAAAUAUUUAGUUGGGGUGACAGAAAAAUUUAAUUAACUUUUUCUCUUUUUAAAUAUAGAUUAAUAGAUUAUUGACUUAAAAUUAUAGUUAUAAGAUUAAAUUACCUUAGGGAUAACAGCGUUAUUUUUCUUAAGAGUUCUUAUCGAAAGAAAAGAUUGCGACCUCGAUGUUGGAUUAAAGUUAAAACCUUGGUGUAGAAGCUAAGUUAUUUAGUCUGUUCGACUAUUAAAACUUUACAUGAUCUGAGUU
RNAcentral lists this ribosomal RNA (536 nucleotides) under Agrilus burkei. Its description in RNAcentral is "partial 16S ribosomal RNA". It matches the Rfam family "Bacterial large subunit ribosomal RNA", at positions 1804 to 2611 of the family's 2925-position model. The record is from RNAcentral. Lineage: Eukaryota; Metazoa; Arthropoda; Insecta; Coleoptera; Buprestidae.